UCUGCAAUGGCCUGUUCAACCUCCUGAGAAAUUGAAUCCAAAUGAAGAUUCCUGCCAGACAAAAGGUGCCACCACAGAAAGGUCUUUGCUGCCCAAGAAAUGCCCAGGCUGCCCCAACUACACCUGAAGCCAAAGGUUCCAGACUUUUUUUCCUGGUAGGAAGAGCUGCUGUUCCCUUUUUUCAACCCCGCGCUGUAAUGGCCUCUCCCACCUCCUAGAAAAUUGAAUCCAACUGAAGAUUCCUGCCAGACAAAAGGUGCCACCACAGAAAACUCUUCCUGCCCAAGAUGUGCCCAGGCUGCCCAAACUACACCUGAAGCCAAAGCUUCCAGACUUUUUUCCUGGUGGAAAGAGCUGCUGUUCCCUUUUUUCAGCCCCGCGCUGUAAUGGCCUGUCCCACCUCCUGGAAAAUUGAAUCCAAUUGAA
This is a long non-coding RNA of Corapipo altera (White-ruffed manakin), 426 nucleotides long. RefSeq lists it as uncharacterized. Lineage: Eukaryota; Metazoa; Chordata; Aves; Passeriformes; Pipridae. The transcript has 3 exons. The record is from RefSeq and is a predicted model, not a curated record.